RNAcentral lists this ribosomal RNA (468 nucleotides) under uncultured bacterium. RNAcentral's name for it is "partial 16S ribosomal RNA". It matches the Rfam family "Bacterial small subunit ribosomal RNA", at positions 28 to 507 of the family's 1533-position model. The record is from RNAcentral.
GACGAACGCUGGCGGCGUGCUUAACACAUGCAAGUCGAACGGAAAGGCCCUGCUUUUGUGGGGUGCUCGAGUGGCGAAAGGGUGAGUAACACGUGAGUAACCUGCCCUUGACUUUGGGAUAACUUCAGGAAACUGGGGCUAAUACCGGAUAGGAGCUCCUGCUGCAUGGUGGGGGUUGGAAAGUUUCGGCGGUUGGGGAUGGACUCGCGGCUUAUCAGCUUGUUGGUGGGGUAGUGGCUUACCAAGGCGUUGACGGGUAGUCGGCCUGUGAGGGUGACCGGCCACAUUGGGACUGAGAUACGGCCCAGACUCCUACGGGAGGCAGCAGUGGGGAAUAUUGCACAAUGGGCGGAAGCCAGAUGCAGCAACGCCGCGUGCGGGAUGACGGCCUUCGGGUUGUAAACCGCUUUCGCCUGUGACGAAGCGUGAGUGACGGUAAUGGGUAAAGAAGCACCGGCUAACUACGUG